This 882-nucleotide ribosomal RNA is filed under the name uncultured Actinomycetales bacterium. RNAcentral describes it as "bacterial SSU rRNA". It matches the Rfam family "Bacterial small subunit ribosomal RNA", at positions 28 to 923 of the family's 1533-position model. The record is from RNAcentral. Lineage: Bacteria; Bacillati; Actinomycetota; Actinomycetes; Actinomycetales.
GACGAACGCUGGCGGCGUGCUUAACACAUGCAAGUCGAGCGAUGAAGUUUCUUCGGAAAUGGAUUAGCGGCGAACGGGUGAGGAACACGUGAAGAAUCUGCCCUCCACUUUGGGAUAACACCGGGAAACCGGUGCUAAUACCGAAUAUUGAAACAUAAGUGGCAUCACUGAGUUUUGAAAGAAUUUCGGUGGAGGAUGACUUCGCGGCCUAUCAGCUAGUUGGUGAGGUAAUGGCUCACCAAGGCAACGACGGGUAGCCGGCCUGAGAGGGCGACCGGCCACACUGGGACUGAGACACGGCCCAGACUCCUACGGGAGGCAGCAGUGGGGAAUAUUGGGCAAUGGAGGAAACUCUGACCCAGCGACGCCGCGUGCGGGAUGAAGGCCUUCGGGUUGUAAACCGCUUUCAGUAGGGAAGAAGCGAAAGUGACGGUACCUACAAAAGAAGCACCGGCUAACUAUGUGCCAGCAGCCGCGGUAAUACAUAGGGUGCAAGCGUUGUCCGGAAUUAUUGGGCGUAAAGAGCUCGUAGGUUGUUUGUUACGUCGGAUGUGAAAACCUGAGGCUCAACCUCAGGCCUGCAUUCGAUACGGGCAAACUAGAGUUUGGUAGGGGAGACUGGAAUUCCUGGUGUAGCGGUGGAAUGCGCAGAUAUCAGGAGGAACACCAAUGGCGAAGGCAGGUCUCUGGGCCAAUACUGACACUGAGGAGCGAAAGUCUGGGGAGCGAACAGGAUUAGAUACCCUGGUAGUCCAGACCGUAAACGGUGGGCACUAGUUGUGGGAACCUUCCACGGUUUCUGCGACGCAGCUAACGCAUUAAGUGCCCCGCCUGGGGAGUACGAUCGCAAGAUUAAAACUCAAAGGAAUUGACGGGGCCCCG